This 142-nucleotide small RNA is filed under the name Escherichia marmotae. The record is from RNAcentral. Lineage: Bacteria; Pseudomonadati; Pseudomonadota; Gammaproteobacteria; Enterobacterales; Enterobacteriaceae.
GAUAAAAAGAGACCGAACACGAUUCCUGUAUUCGGUCCAGGGAAAUGGCUCUUGGGAGAGAGCCGUGCGCUAAAAGUUGGCAUUAAUGCAGGCUUAGUUGCCUUGCCUUUUAAGAAUAGAUGACGACGCCAGGUUUUCCAGU